This 479-nucleotide long non-coding RNA is filed under the name Citrus maxima (pomelo). RNAcentral's name for it is "long non-coding RNA (CMAX_LNC001820)". The record is from RNAcentral. Lineage: Eukaryota; Viridiplantae; Streptophyta; Magnoliopsida; Sapindales; Rutaceae.
AUGAUGGCGCAUUACCAGGUGACGAUGGAACCGCCGGCGGUGGCGUGGAAGGGGAGGUUCCCGGCGGGGGAGAUACUCCUGUUGGAGCAUUAGACGCAGGUGGCUGCGAUGACGGUGACGUGGAGGGGGAAGUUCCCGGAGCCGGUGACAGCCCAGUUGGAGCAUUAGCCGCAGGUGGUUGUGAUGACGGUGACGUGGAGGGGGAAGUUCCCGGAGCCGGUGACAGCCCAGUUGGAGCAUUAGCCGCAGGUGAUUGGGAUGAUGAUGGUGACGUAGAAGGUGAAGUUGCCGGCACCGGAGAGUACCCUUUUGGAGGAUAAGGCGAAGGCGCAUGAGAUGACGGUGACGUGGAAGGUGAAGUCGCCGGCACCGGAGAGUAUCCUUUUGGAGGAUAAGGCGAAGACGUGGAAGGUGAAGUUGCCGGCGUCGGAGAGGACCCUUUAGGAGGAUUAGCCGAAGGUGCAUGAGAUGUUGGUGAG